RNAcentral lists this transfer RNA (93 nucleotides) under Rhodospirillaceae bacterium. RNAcentral's name for it is "tRNA-Ser". It matches the Rfam family "tRNA". From Rfam's summary of the family: Transfer RNA (tRNA) molecules are approximately 80 nucleotides in length. Their secondary structure includes four short double-helical elements and three loops (D, anti-codon, and T loops). Further hydrogen bonds mediate the characteristic L-shaped molecular structure. tRNAs have two regions of fundamental functional importance: the anti-codon, which is responsible for specific mRNA codon recognition, and the 3' end, to which the tRNAs corresponding amino acid is attached (by aminoacyl-tRNA synthetases). tRNAs cope with the degeneracy of the genetic code in two manners: having more than one tRNA (with a specific anti-codon) for a particular amino acid; and 'wobble' base-pairing, i.e. permitting non-standard base-pairing at the 3rd anti-codon position. Lineage: Bacteria; Pseudomonadati; Pseudomonadota; Alphaproteobacteria; Rhodospirillales; Rhodospirillaceae. The record is from RNAcentral. RNAcentral also lists the same sequence under 1 other name.
GGACAGGUGGGUGAGUGGCUUAAACCAGCGGAUUGCUAAUCCGUCGUACUCCUUUAAGGGGUACCGAGGGUUCGAAUCCCUCCCUGUCCGCCA